RNAcentral lists this ribosomal RNA (460 nucleotides) under uncultured bacterium. Its description in RNAcentral is "partial 16S ribosomal RNA". It matches the Rfam family "Bacterial small subunit ribosomal RNA", at positions 338 to 795 of the family's 1533-position model. The record is from RNAcentral.
CCUACGGGUGACAGCAGUGAGGAAUAUUGGUCAAUGGGCGCGAGCCUGAACCAGCCAAGUCGCGUGAAGGAUGACGGCCCUACGGAUUGUAAACUUCUUUUAUAAGGGAAUAAAGUCAGGCACGUGUGCCUGUUUGUAUGUACUUUAUGAAUAAGGAUCGGCUAACUCCGUGCCAGCAGCCGCGGUAAUACGGAGGAUCCGAGCGUUAUCCGGAUUUAUUGGGUUUAAAGGGAGCGUAGACGGGUUGUUAAGUCAGUUGUGAAAGUUUGCGGCUCAACCGUAAAACUGCAAUUGAUACUGGCAGUCUUGAGUACAGUUGAGGUAUGCGGAAUGCGUGGUGUAGCGGUGAAAUGCUUAGAUAUCACGAAGAACUCCGAUUGCGAAGGCAGCUUACUAAACUGACACUGACAUUGAUGCUCGAAAGUGUGGGUAUCAAACAGGAUUAGAUACCCGAGUAGUC